UACGGAGGGUGCAAGCGUUAUCCGGAUUCACUGGGUUUAAAGGGCGCGUAGGUGGGUUGGUAAGUCAGUGGUGAAAUCCCCGAGCUUAACUUGGGAACUGCCAUUGAUACUAUCAGUCUUGAAUAUUGUGGAGGUCAGCGGAAUAUGUCAUGUAGCGGUGAAAUGCUUAGAUAUGACAUAGAACACCAAUUGCGAAGGCAGCUGGCUACGCAUAUAUUGACACUGAGGCUCGAAAGCGUGGGGAUCAAACAGG
RNAcentral lists this ribosomal RNA (253 nucleotides) under uncultured bacterium. RNAcentral describes it as "partial 16S ribosomal RNA". It matches the Rfam family "Bacterial small subunit ribosomal RNA", at positions 524 to 776 of the family's 1533-position model. The record is from RNAcentral.